RNAcentral lists this ribosomal RNA (464 nucleotides) under Vreelandella stevensii. Its description in RNAcentral is "partial 16S ribosomal RNA". It matches the Rfam family "Bacterial small subunit ribosomal RNA", at positions 338 to 795 of the family's 1533-position model. Lineage: Bacteria; Pseudomonadati; Pseudomonadota; Gammaproteobacteria; Oceanospirillales; Halomonadaceae. The record is from RNAcentral.
CCUACGGGCGGUAGCAGUGGGGAAUAUUGGACAAUGGGGGCAACCCUGAUCCAGCCAUGCCGCGUGUGUGAAGAAGGCCCUCGGGUUGUAAAGCACUUUCAGUGAGGAAGAACGCCUGGUGGUUAAUACCCAUCAGGAAAGACAUCACUCACAGAAGAAGCACCGGCUAACUCCGUGCCAGCAGCCGCGGUAAUACGGAGGGUGCGAGCGUUAAUCGGAAUUUCUGGGCGUAAAGCGCGCGUAGGUGGCUUGAUAAGCCGGUUGUGAAAGCCCCGGGCUCAACCUGGGAACGGCAUCCGGAACUGUCAAGCUAGAGUGCAGGAGAGGAAGGUAGAAUUCCCGGUGUAGCGGUGAAAUGCGUAGAGAUCGGGAGGAAUACCAGUGGCGAAGGCGGCCUUCUGGACUGACACUGACACUGAGGUGCGAAAGCGUGGGUAGCAAACAGGAUUAGAUACCUGGUAGUC